AGCCUCUCACACAAACAAGGGCGGUUAUGCGAAACCGGCAGGCGAGAUAACCGCGUAGAUUUCUGCUCGUCAAAAGUCUAUUCUUGUGACGACACUCCCAAAUUGCUCUCGGCUCUCCCCGACUCACAAGUUGUUUUGUUGUGUGGGCCGUGCGCAUGCAGAGAUAAAUAGCGAGCAGCCACGCACACCAUUUCGGACCAUCGUUCGGACACGUCGCGCAUUCUGCACUUGUGCGUGUGAGCAGCUCUUAGGCAGACGACCAAUUCGCAUCUCCUUCCAAGACAAAAUCUACCAUGGCUUCUGAAAACAUGAACGGAUCUAAAGGCCGCUCCGGCGCUUCCUCUCGCUCUUCCCUCCUGGUCCUGCUCUGCGUCAUGGUGAUCACCCUGAGCCUGUUCGCCUGCAGUCUGGCACAGGAUGUUCCCAAGAGGCGGAGGGUCCCACUCCCCCUGGACCGCUGCAUGUACGCCUGUCACGGCCCCUUCUCCGACUGCUACAGGAACUACACGACAAGCGCCGAGGCCAAUCUGUGUAUCGACACCUUCAACACCUGUUUCCAGAACUGCUACCGUCUGUACUAAACAAACAGCAACAACAACAACAACAACAACAACAACAACGACGACGACGAAAACAACAACCACAUUAAAAACAACUAAAAACAACAGCAACAAUAUCAACAGCGUGUGGACAUGAUACCCAACUAGAUUUCACAGGAACUGCUCUAGACACCACAUUCCUCACGUCUAUAACGGUGACUUUUUAGUCUUGCUCAGUAUUAAAACAAAUCCAAAAAGAAGCCACCCUUCCUGACACUGAUGAUGGUACUACCAAGUACUUGACGACGUUCAACGAACUUUGGUUCAAUUUGUUUUCAUGUGACCACGACCCUCAACAAAGAAUCUCUUGGCCAGAAAGGAAGAAAGAAAAAAAUGGUCACGAUAAAUCGAUUUGGCACUAACUUUCCCGGUUUUAUCUUAUCUUUCAUAUUUUCUCCUUUAACGUUCACAAAAACACACACCAAUCAUCCGAAACAUACUCGCAGUUCUCAUUUUGGGUCGUUGCCAUCUGUUUUGGAAUUGAUAAUUUGCACAACUGAGCACUUGUGUGGAAAAUAUGAAAGUAAGAUUUUGCUUCUUUAGUCUUGUAUCCCUCUCGAUAGAAGGCUGACACGACUUCUCAAUAAUUUAUCCCUGUUCUGUACGACUGCAAGUGACUGUAGAGACUGAUCGAGACAUGACAUGAAUCUUCUGUGUUGCAAAAAAAAUAGAAUGAAUGGAAUAUCUGUGCGUAUGAGAGAGCUGUUGAAUCGAAUGGACUGACUGUGUGCGCCUGUUUUAUCAACCUCUUUCUUUUCCUACUUUAUUGUACAUGUACCUAUGCUAACCUUAUAAAUCUGAGAAAAAAACAA
Long non-coding RNA from Aplysia californica (California sea hare), 1411 nucleotides. RefSeq lists it as uncharacterized. The record is from RefSeq and is a predicted model, not a curated record. Lineage: Eukaryota; Metazoa; Mollusca; Gastropoda; Aplysiida; Aplysiidae. The transcript is spliced from 2 exons.